Molecule: transfer RNA, 87 nt
Filed under: bacterium
Lineage: Bacteria
Description: tRNA-Ser
Rfam family: tRNA
About the family: Transfer RNA (tRNA) molecules are approximately 80 nucleotides in length.
Source: RNAcentral
GGAGGGGUCGCAUAGUGGUUUAGUGCACCACCUUGGAAAGGUGGCAUACCUUUAUCGGUAUCGGGAGUUCGAAUCUCCCCCCCUCCG